Oreochromis aureus is the source of this 1031-nucleotide long non-coding RNA. The record is from Ensembl. NCBI's taxonomy places the organism in Eukaryota, Metazoa, Chordata, Actinopteri, Cichliformes, Cichlidae.
UGGAUUAACAACUUCAUUUUAAAAAUCCUGCUGCUAUUCAAAUUAGCCACACCGUGGGAUGUAAGGAGCUCUCUGAUUGGUUGGUCAGACACAGGCUGUCUGCCAGCCUGGAUUUUUCUAGCUCAUAGCUUCGCCCUGCUACGCGUGUGUGCCUGUACAAAGGCCGUUCAGCCUCGGGAUUUACACUCGGCUCGACACGGAUAUGUGAAGAAUGAAGGGAGCCUGCAGCGAAACGGAGAGCCAACCUCUGACUGAGUGCCCGUUUACUCAGUCUGACCACCUGUUGAAGGGCUGUUUGAUGACGAUUUGGACUCCUCUGGGAGAUGAGGACACACCCACAUCUGUUCCAUACUGCAGCCAUGGAUGGUGUUACAGCUCUGAGUCAGCUUUGGGCCAUCAGACGCACACACUGGAAAACCAGCGCCUGUACUUCAUGCAGGAGAGACGGCCUCAGUGAUGAUUGACUCUGCAUCCUCUACUUUACCUCCUAAUCUCUUUCUCUUUAACACACAAUUAAAAUCACUCCAAAAGAGUGUAAACUUACUGAGGAAGUCUCUAACUUGUACACAUUUGUACUUUUACUUGUUUUAUGAGUUAUUUUUAAGAAGAGUAAAGUUAUUCACAAAGUUUUUAUUCUUCUGUAUUUAUUCUUUUGUAUCAUGUACCACAGUCAUACUGAACUUUACAGACCUGGUGAAUUGGGGGGGAAAAAAAGUCAUAUAUAUAUAUACAUGAAUGAAUCAUUCAGCUUCAGCAGUAUUUCUAUUCAUCUUAUGAAUUCCAGUCUAAUGUCAAUUCACUGUUUGAGUUCAGUUUUGGUCUUAAACUCCAGAGAAUACCACCUAGUUCAACAAUCUUUUUAUCUGAUUAUUUGCAAAACGGUUUUCUUCUGAGAGAUGCUGCUAGAGCUGAAAUUGAGCCCAAAGAAACAACAACAAAGUUUAGUUCCUCUGGAUUUUCCAUGGAAAAUUGUUUUAUCACUCAUCCAGGUGACUUCUCCAGUGUCACGGAUGAGUGAUGAAUGUAUCUCC